UACGAAGGGGGCUAGCGUUGUUCGGAAUCACUGGGCGUAAAGCGCACGUAGGCGGAUUUUUAAGUCAGGGGUGAAAUCCCGGGGCUCAACCUCGGAACUGCCUUUGAUACUGGAGAUCUUGAGUCCGGAAGAGGUAAGUGGAACUGCGAGUGUAGAGGUGAAAUUCGUAGAUAUUCGCAAGAACACCAGUGGCGAAGGCGGCUUACUGGUCCGGAACUGACGCUGAGGUGCGAAGGCUAGGGGAGCAAACGGG
This 253-nucleotide ribosomal RNA is filed under the name uncultured bacterium. RNAcentral's name for it is "partial 16S ribosomal RNA". It matches the Rfam family "Bacterial small subunit ribosomal RNA", at positions 524 to 776 of the family's 1533-position model. The record is from RNAcentral.